AUUGAACGCUGGCGGAAUGCUUUACACAUGCAAGUCGAACGGCAGCACGGGGCAACCUGGUGGCGAGUGGCGAACGGGUGAGUAAUACAUCGGAACGUGCCCAAUCGUGGGGGAUAACGUAGCGAAAGUUACGCUAAUACCGCAUACGAUCUACGGAUGAAAGCGGGGGAUCGCAAGACCUCGCGCGAAUGGAGCGGCCGAUGUCAGAUUAGGUAGUUGGUGGGGUAAAGGCUCACCAAGCCGACGAUCUGUAGCUGGUCUGAGAGGACGACCAGCCACACUGGGACUGAGACACGGCCCAGACUCCUACGGGAGGCAGCAGUGGGGAAUUUUGGACAAUGGGCGCAAGCCUGAUCCAGCCAUUCCGCGUGCAGGAUGAAGGCCUUCGGGUUGUAAACUGCUUUUGUACGGAACGAAAAGGCUCUGGUUAAUACCUGGAGUUUAUGACGGUACCGUAAGAAUAAGCACCGGCUAACUACGUG
Molecule: ribosomal RNA, 482 nt
Filed under: uncultured bacterium
Lineage: Bacteria
Description: bacterial SSU rRNA
Rfam family: Bacterial small subunit ribosomal RNA
Source: RNAcentral